AACACUAGCAGCUAUCUAUGAUAUUUCACAGACUGUGCAUCAGAACAAGAGGAACCAUUUGAAAAAAUGACAGAAUUCCAAGUCUAGGACAUGGGGUAGGGCAGCAGAAGAAACUGAUUUGAGUAUUCAGCUCCUAGAAUGAUCCAAGGAAUGAUUCAAGCUAGUGACAACAUGGCUCAUUCAAGACCAAGCUUUUACCUCUUCUGACAACAUGAUCCAAAGGCGAUCUAG
RNAcentral lists this long non-coding RNA (231 nucleotides) under Monodelphis domestica (gray short-tailed opossum). RNAcentral describes it as "lncRNA (ENSMODG00000043336.1)". Lineage: Eukaryota; Metazoa; Chordata; Mammalia; Didelphimorphia; Didelphidae. The record is from RNAcentral.